UGGGGAAUCUUGCGCAAUGGCCGAAAGGCUGACGCAGCGACGCCGCGUGGGGGCGGAAGGCCUUCGGGUUGUAAACCCCUGUUGCCCGGGACGAAUCCCUGGUUUCGACCAGGUUGCCGGUACCGGGUGAGGAAGCACCGGCUAACUCUGUGCCAGCAGCCGCGGUAAUACAGAGGGUGCGAGCGUUGUCCGGAAUCACUGGGCGUAGAGGGCGCGUAGGCGGCGCGGUCAGCGUGCGGUGAAAGCUCGGGGCUCAACUCCGAGUCGGCCGUGCGAACUGCCGGGCUGGAGCACACUAGAGGCGGAUGGAAUUCCGGGUGUAGCGGUGGAAUGCGUAGAGAUCCGGAAGAACACCGGUGGCGAAGGCGGUCCGCUGGGGUGUUGCUGACGCUGAGGCGCGACAGCGUGGGGAGCAAA
Molecule: ribosomal RNA, 417 nt
Filed under: uncultured bacterium
Lineage: Bacteria
Description: bacterial SSU rRNA
Rfam family: Bacterial small subunit ribosomal RNA
Source: RNAcentral